GCCCUGGUGGUCCAGUGGUUAGGACUUUGAGCUCCUACUGCAAGGGGCACAGGUUUGAUCCCUGACCGGGGGA
This 73-nucleotide transfer RNA is filed under the name Bos taurus (domestic cattle). It matches the Rfam family "tRNA". Rfam says of the family: Transfer RNA (tRNA) molecules are approximately 80 nucleotides in length. Their secondary structure includes four short double-helical elements and three loops (D, anti-codon, and T loops). Further hydrogen bonds mediate the characteristic L-shaped molecular structure. tRNAs have two regions of fundamental functional importance: the anti-codon, which is responsible for specific mRNA codon recognition, and the 3' end, to which the tRNAs corresponding amino acid is attached (by aminoacyl-tRNA synthetases). tRNAs cope with the degeneracy of the genetic code in two manners: having more than one tRNA (with a specific anti-codon) for a particular amino acid; and 'wobble' base-pairing, i.e. permitting non-standard base-pairing at the 3rd anti-codon position. Lineage: Eukaryota; Metazoa; Chordata; Mammalia; Artiodactyla; Bovidae. The record is from Rfam by way of RNAcentral. RNAcentral also lists the same sequence under 1 other name.